This 468-nucleotide ribosomal RNA is filed under the name uncultured bacterium. Its description in RNAcentral is "partial 16S ribosomal RNA". It matches the Rfam family "Bacterial small subunit ribosomal RNA", at positions 28 to 507 of the family's 1533-position model. The record is from RNAcentral.
GAUGAACGCUGGCGGCGUGCUUAACACAUGCAAGUCGAACGGAAAGGCCCAAGCUUGCUUGGGUACUCGAGUGGCGAACGGGUGAGUAACACGUGGGUGAUCUGCCCUGCACUUCGGGAUAAGCCUGGGAAACUGGGUCUAAUACCGGAUAGGACGAUGGUUUGGAUGCCAUUGUGGAAAGUUUUUUCGGUGUGGGAUGAGCUCGCGGCCUAUCAGCUUGUUGGUGGGGUAAUGGCCUACCAAGGCGUCGACGGGUAGCCGGCCUGAGAGGGUGUACGGCCACAUUGGGACUGAGAUACGGCCCAGACUCCUACGGGAGGCAGCAGUGGGGAAUAUUGCACAAUGGGCGCAAGCCUGAUGCAGCGGCGCCGCGUGGGGGAUGACGGCCUUCGGGUUGUAAACUCCUUUCGCUAGGGACGAAGCGUUUUUGUGACGGUACCUGGAGAAGAAGCACCGGCUAACUACGUG